Rattus norvegicus (Norway rat) is the source of this 2140-nucleotide long non-coding RNA. The record is from Ensembl. Lineage: Eukaryota; Metazoa; Chordata; Mammalia; Rodentia; Muridae.
UUUUCCAGUGUCACAUUUUAUUGACAAUUCGCAAGGUACAGCAUUUCAGUGGCAGCAAUCUGCCAAAUAUUCCCGCAGUCCUGGCAGUCCUGGCUGAGGCAAACACGGGUUAUUUUAUUCUAGUCUUAAUUACUCUCACGAUACACUACAUAUCACACAGUAAAUCUCUCUCUCUCUGUAUAUGUCUACGUGCAGAUUAUGGAAUGGCUGUAAAGGGUUAAAGAUGCAAGGAGUUUGAGUUUCCAACAGGCCAGUUGGGAAACUCAGGCCACUAGUCUCUGAUAACGGCCUAAGGGGACUGGAGAACUUGGAGAAGCUGUGGCCGUAAGUCAAGACCCUGGGUUGUAGGUUUGAGAAUGAAGCGGCAAAGCUGAGUCCAGCUUGGUGCAGAGGCAAAGGGUAAGACUGGGUCCAGGCAACAGAGGUGGGAGAACAAGAGGCGGGCAGAUGGCAUCUACCACGAUGAUGGCUGCAUUGACAGUGCACCCAGGCAACUAGAAGCCUCUGGGAGAGUCAGUUCUCUGCCUGUUAGUCAGUUCUUGAUGCAUGCGGGGCAGUGAGGAGACAGGUCAGUGGGGACUGUCACCAACCAACUGCUAGAUGUGUACUUCUCUGUGGGGUUCACAUGUAGGUAGGAGCUCCAUACUUUCCUUGGCCUGAUGGGCUUGAUUUUCCUGAUAUAUUAAUAUGCUCAUAUCCCCACAGUCCCAACCCACCAUGAUACAUUACAAUACCCUUUGAAUUUCCGGAUGGUCGUUUAGUAGUGUGUGCCAUGAGGAUGGCCUGGAACAGGCGGCAUACCUUCCAUCCUCAGUAGAGUACCAAGCUGCUUAUGCUGGAAAAGGCUUGGGGGAGUCAGUGUGGAAAGCCACUGUCCUGUACAAUAUGGAGUAACUUAGGGCAAGGCACAGCCUGACCUCAACAGGCAUGUGCACCUUCCCAGGGCCUCCUGUGAAAGGCUUGCUUAAUGGAGAGCUGCCCCAUCUCUUCUGCUCCUUGGUUUUGGCCAUCAGUGAGCCACUCCCCUGUCUCCUUCCUUCCCCUCUCCUGCCUUCUAAGAUACCUCUCAGGACCUCAGACUUAGGUCUCCAAACCCUCUCAGCAGCUUUAGGCCUUGGCACCUCCCGGGCAGCCUCCAUUCUGCGUCUUGUAAUAUGAACAGCAGGUAAAUCCCCGGUGGGCAACAGAUGUUGGUGGGCAACAACAGGCCCUCGGUACUCCAGGGAGACCAGGCUACCCAGACCCAGAGAUGGACUCUGGACAGAUCAAGCCUCACAGAGAACAGGAGAGCACAUGGGCAGAAUAAAGGGAGGAGGGCCAGGAAGGUGGGGGCGAGGAUGAGAGUGAUCUUAGCAAGUCCUAGUAAGCUGGGAAGCACAUGACCACACCUCCUUCACCACUGCAACCUCAUUCUUUCUCUGGUUGGGCAACAGCAGAAGAGCAUAGGAAAAAGCUGAUUCCAAGGACUCUCCAAUCCCAAAUCUCUGCUCUUGUAUUGCUUUUUCUUGUUUUUGUUUUUCAAGACAGGGUUUCUCCGUAUAGCUCUAGCUAUCCUGGAACUCACUGAACUCAGCCGGGUGAAUAUUGGAAUUAAAGGUGUGCACUACCAUACCCGGUUUUGUUUGUUUGAGACAGGAUCUUGUUAUGUAGCCUAGGGUGCCUCUUGAGUGCCAGGACCAUAGGCAUACACCAUGGUACUGGCUAGUUUCUGUUUUUGGUAGCAGUCAGAACCUGCUGCUGGAAGUCUCUUCACACUACAGGAGUAGGACAGCAGGAAAGCCCUCAGGGACUGUGUGCAAAACAGCUGAAGGAUACUCAUCCCUGGGCUAAGGGUUUCUUUUCUUUUCUUUUUUUUUUUUAAUUUAAAAGUUGUAUUUAUUCAUGUAGGAAUGUGUGUGCACAUACACUCAUGCAUGCAUACCAACACAUACAUGUGAAGAACAGCUGUAAGAGUCACACUUCUGCUUCCAUGCGGGUUUCCAGGAAUGGAACUCAGUUUAUCAGGCUUGGCUGGUGGGGAGUGUCUUAACGCACUAAGCCAGAAUCGUACCAGCUCCCCUGGGCUAGCCCUGGAUGCUACACAAUCCCACAUGAGCUGAUGCUUUUUCUUUCUUUCUUUUUUUUUUUCUUUUCUUUUUUU